ACGCUCGACACCUACGGGAUGCAGCAGUGAGGAAUAUUGGUCAAUGGGCGCUAGCCUGAACCAGCCAAGUAGCGUGAAGGAUGAAGGCUCUAUGGGUCGUAAACUUCUUUUAUAUAAGAAUAAAGUGCAGUAUGUAUACUGUUUUGUAUGUAUUAUAUGAAUAAGGAUCGGCUAACUCCGUACCAGCAGCCGCGGUAAUCUGAGCGGGCUGGCAAGGC
Molecule: ribosomal RNA, 218 nt
Filed under: uncultured bacterium
Lineage: Bacteria
Description: partial 16S ribosomal RNA
Rfam family: Bacterial small subunit ribosomal RNA
Source: RNAcentral